RNAcentral lists this long non-coding RNA (261 nucleotides) under Elaeis guineensis (African oil palm). RNAcentral's name for it is "long non-coding RNA (EGUI_LNC044666)". The record is from RNAcentral. Lineage: Eukaryota; Viridiplantae; Streptophyta; Magnoliopsida; Arecales; Arecaceae.
CAUGGGGAUUUCUGACUGAGUGGGUAGCAUCGAUGAAGCUUCUGAAGUUGACUGAAGUGAAGGAGGUGAUGGCGAGGGAAUUGAGGCAACUCGAGGUGCCACCAUACUCGGAGCUCUUAUGCAAGGAUCUCAUCUAAAAAUUAUACUCUGGAGGUUCAAAUCCCGAAGGUCAAUGUUGGUGCUUAUUUGUUCGACCCCCUAGCCAUGGGCCCAAGCUUAUUAACUUUUCUAUGUUUGCAUAGGUUUGAUAUUGUCUCGGGA